GGCUGUAGUGUACACCAUGAGCUUAGCUUAAAGGUGUGCUAUAAAUGAAUAGUGCUAAUAAAAGGCUGUUGAGAUUGUUUCAAGUGAGAAUACUAUCUCAGUUACUAUUACUAUUUUAUUACCCAUUUUAUACUAUUAUUUCAGCUGGAAUCAAAAGACCUGUCACCCAGGAGGACAAGGAAUGGGCACUGGCAUCCUUGUCACAACUUGGGCAUUUUACUGGGAUGAGGUGGAUUCUGAGUCCAGAAACGCCUCAGGUAUUUUGUAUACACUAUGUGGCCAAAAAUAUGUGGACACCACACUGAAACCUCAUUGACUUGCAAGGAUAGGGGACUGUUCCUGUCUGACAGCAGCCUGCUCGGUGGAUCUCCAGAUGGGACAGUAUCUCGUGAUUGCAUUGUUGAGGUGAAGUGUCCGUUGUCAGCCAGAACCAAGACUAUCCUGCAGGCAGCAGAGAGUGGGGAAUGUUUUUCUGGAGUUGGAUGAAGUGGCUCGUUCCCUGACACUAAAACAAACUCAUAACUACUGGCAUCAGAUCCAGAGCAACCUACACCUGACCAGAGCUAACAGCUGUCACCUACUUGUAUGGACUCCUCUUGACCUUGUCAUCCUGCCAGUGCUCAAAGACCCAAC
Long non-coding RNA from Myxocyprinus asiaticus (Chinese sucker), 633 nucleotides. RefSeq lists it as uncharacterized. The transcript has 3 exons. The record is from RefSeq and is a predicted model, not a curated record. NCBI's taxonomy places the organism in Eukaryota, Metazoa, Chordata, Actinopteri, Cypriniformes, Catostomidae.